UAUUGCAGCCAGAAUGAGAUUUUAUUUUAAACAAGGGACGGGAAAACAGCAGCGUUCCAAGGGGGAACUGUUGACAUCGGCACUGUUGCACCUGGGUCACUUUAGGGGGAGGGAAACCGCGGCACCCCAGAUGUAACCUGGAGGCCGGAAUGUGUCAAGUGUCUUCAUUGCUGCGCAUUAUCUCCUGUACUUUACAGGUGGAGAUGUGUGGAUACGUAAGAACACUGGAGAGAGGACAAGAGAAAUUCUCAACACAUGGCAACUCAUAUAAGACGUAACAUCUGUGAAUGAUACAGUAUUCUGAGCACAACAUGCUGUUAAAGAUGUUCAGAGGGAGAUGAUGCCACAUCUGGUCCAGCCGAUGGAAGGUCUUGAAGUUCUCUGACUGGCCUCUACUGAAGAUGGUCGUCUCACUGGAUUUAAGGUUCAGAUGCUCAGUAACAAACUCCACCAAUGAGCCAACAGGGAAGCUUUAGGUUUAUUAAAUGUUGCUAUGAAGGUUUCGCUGUUUUUCUUUGUGAAUGCAAUGAGCUCCAACUGAAACUUGAAUUAGAACUUAGAAGUAAAUCCUUCCAUCUGAAAGGAUUUAGUUGCAUUAAUAACCUCAUAACAUUCUAAUUUUUAUUCCAGUCUUAGUUGGAAAUAGAAUCUCUGUAUUGAUUCAGGUAAAAACUGAACUUCACAGAAUGUUGGAGCAAAACAACCAGAUGAAAACUGUGAUGGUGUUGGAUUGUCAGACCGUAAUGUUGCAGCUCAAAGCAGCUUUUCUAUCUCAGUUCAUUCUGACAUUCAGCUAUGAAUCAACACACUCACAUCUCCUGAUUUAAUGGAGCUGCUUUGCACUUUUUACACUGUUUAUUCACCAACACUUUAUUUAAUAAAAGUCCCAUCUAGUUUUUAUGAGGAAUGUGAUGUUUUAAUUUCUCUGUGAAUAACUGCAGUCUAAUGUAACAGCUGGAAU
This is a long non-coding RNA of Amphiprion ocellaris (clown anemonefish), 961 nucleotides long. The record is from Ensembl. Lineage: Eukaryota; Metazoa; Chordata; Actinopteri; Pomacentridae.